GGCGUGCUUAACACAUGCAUGCAGUCGAGCGGUAAGGCCCUUCGGGGUACACGAGCGGCGAACGGGUGAGUAACACGUGGGUGAUCUGCCUCGUACUCUGGGAUAAGCCUGGGAAACUGGGUCUAAUACCGGAUAUGACCACGAGUCGCAUGGUUUGUGGUGGAAAGAUUUAUCGGUGCGAGAUGGGCCCGCGGCCUAUCAGCUUGUUGGUGGGGUAAUGGCCUACCAAGGCGACGACGGGUAGCCGGCCUGAGAGGGCGACCGGCCACACUGGGACUGAGACACGGCCCAGACUCCUACGGGAGGCAGCAGUGGGGAAUAUUGCACAAUGGGCGGAAGCCUGAUGCAGCGACGCCGCGUGCGGGAUGACGGCCUUCGGGUUGUAAACCGCUUUCGACAGGGACGAAGCGUGAGUGACGGUACCUGUAGAAGAAGCACCGGCCAACUACGUGCCAGCAGCCGCGGUAAUACGUAGGGUGCGAGCGUUGUCCGGAAUUACUGGGCGUAAAGAGCUUGUAGGCGGUUUGUCGCGUCGUUCGUGAAAACUUGGGGCUCAACCCCAAGCUUGCGGGCGAUACGGGCAGACUAGAGUACUGCAGGGGAGACUGGAAUUCCUGGUGUAGCGGUGAAAUGCGCAGAUAUCAGGAGGAACACCGGUGGCGAAGGCGGGUCUCUGGGCAGUAACUGACGCUGAGAAGCGAAAGCGUGGGUAGCGAACAGGAUUAGAUACCCUGGUAGUCCACGCCGUAAACGGUGGGUACUAGGUGUGGGUUUCCUUCCACGGGAUCCGUGCCGUAGCUAACGCAUUAAGUACCCCGCCUGGGGAGUACGGCCGCAAGGCUAAAACUC
This 849-nucleotide ribosomal RNA is filed under the name Nocardia wallacei. RNAcentral describes it as "bacterial SSU rRNA". It matches the Rfam family "Bacterial small subunit ribosomal RNA", at positions 41 to 902 of the family's 1533-position model. Lineage: Bacteria; Bacillati; Actinomycetota; Actinomycetes; Mycobacteriales; Nocardiaceae. The record is from RNAcentral.